This is a long non-coding RNA of Salvelinus sp. IW2-2015, 1194 nucleotides long. RefSeq lists it as uncharacterized. NCBI's taxonomy places the organism in Eukaryota, Metazoa, Chordata, Actinopteri, Salmoniformes, Salmonidae. The record is from RefSeq and is a predicted model, not a curated record.
UGCAUAUCUUAUAUUCUGGGGAUGAGUAGCAGGCAGUUGAAUUUUGGCAUGCUAUUUAUCCGAAAGUGAAAAUGCUACCCCCUGCCCACAAGAAGUUAAGUACCUAAAAUACGUGGCAUAUGUCCUCAGAAAGAUCCAACUAAUGAUUAGAAUAAGCAAUUUAAGGUUCACUUUACUUUUUAUAGUGAUGCGGAUUUUUGUUUUCCAGGGCUACAACUGGUGUCAUGACCGAAACGUCGUCACCAUCUUCAGUGCACCAAACUACUGCUAUCGCUGUGGCAACCAAGCUGCCAUCAUGGAACUGGACGACACUCUGAAAUACUCUUUCCUUCAGUUUGACCCUGCACCUCGACGCGGGGAGCCCCAUGUCACCCGCCGUACCCCCGACUACUUCUUAUAAACACCCACUGGCCUGGUGGUGGAGGAUGAAGACUGCAAGACCGCUACAGCAAGCAAACAACAAACCCCCAAAACCUGUGUGCAUAUGACUUGUUACAACACGAAAGCACUGACAUGGACCAAAAUGUGCCAUGUAAGCAUUUAGUACAUAAUACAAAUUGCCCUGUGUCUCAGUACUGCAACACAGUGUCCCGUUUGAGCCUUUACUGUAGUCGCCUGCUGUAUAAUAUUGAUCGUAAUAUUAUUUUGUUUUUGGGCUCUACACACAGAGAGAAAGCAUCCCUAUAUACGGUAUUUCCCAUUAUUGCGUCUGAGCGCACAGGCACUGCCAUUGAGGCGAUCUCUAUUUUGAAGUGGUCAAUUUUCUUCACGGUUGGCUGAUCUCUCCUGAUUACCAGGUUGGACAUGAUUUCCAACAGGGUCAUGGGGGGGAGGGGGAUCAGCCAAUGAAGUUGGCUGUCCAUGCUAAAAUGGCCUUUUGGCCACUAGAGGCCUCUCUCUGCAACUGUACAUUACUCUGCACAAAAAAAUGUGAUAACUUGCUUACUUUCCCCACCCAAAUAUCACUGGAAAAUGAUACAUUUUCCAUUGGCAAUGCCUGGCAUGUGAAUAACGGUAUUUUAUACAAAUGCACAAGCUUACAUCCCCAGCCCACGCUUCUUCACCAAACUUCUUCCUACUCUUCCCCUUGGUCUAAUCUACCUGUUUAUUUUCCUCUGUAUAUUUGUCAUGAAGUGAUUGCCUCUUUGAUGCAUUUGAACUAAUAAAGUACUUUAAAUUGUAAAUGACACCAAA